UCGAACGAAGCACUUUAUUUGAUUUCCUUCGGGACUGAUUAUUUUGUGACUGAGUGGCGGACGGGUGAGUAACGCGUGGGUAACCUGCCUUGUACAGGGGGAUAACAGUUGGAAACGGCUGCUAAUACCGCAUAAGCGCACAGCAUCGCAUGAUGCAGUGUGAAAAACUCCGGUGGUAUAAGAUGGACCCGCGUUGGAUUAGCUAGUUGGUGAGGUAACGGCCCACCAAGGCGACGAUCCAUAGCCGACCUGAGAGGGUGACCGGCCACAUUGGGACUGAGACACGGCCCAAACUCCUACGGGAGGCAGCAGUGGGGAAUAUUGCACAAUGGGCGAAAGCCUGAUGCAGCGACGCCGCGUGAGCGAAGAAGUAUUUCGGUAUGUAAAGCUCUAUCAGCAGGGAAGAUAAUGACGGUACCUGACUAAGAAGCACCGGCUAAAUACGUGCCAGCAGCCGCGGUAAUACGUAUGGUGCAAGCGUUAUCCGGAUUUACUGGGUGUAAAGGGAGCGCAGGUGGUGCGGCAAGUCUGAUGUGAAAGCCCGGGGCUCAACCCCGGUACUGCAUUGGAAACUGUCGUACUAGAGUGUCGGAGGGGUAAGCGGAAUUCCUAGUGUAGCGGUGAAAUGCGUAGAUAUUAGGAGGAACACCAGUGGCGA
Molecule: ribosomal RNA, 658 nt
Filed under: uncultured bacterium
Lineage: Bacteria
Description: bacterial SSU rRNA
Rfam family: Bacterial small subunit ribosomal RNA
Source: RNAcentral